GGCUUCAGAGCUCAGUUGGUUAGAGCAUCACACCAGCAUUGGAAGGUAGCUGGUUCAAACCCUGUUGAAGUCC
Molecule: transfer RNA, 73 nt
Filed under: Acropora cervicornis
Lineage: Eukaryota; Metazoa; Cnidaria; Anthozoa; Scleractinia; Acroporidae
Description: tRNA-Ala
Rfam family: tRNA
About the family: Transfer RNA (tRNA) molecules are approximately 80 nucleotides in length. Their secondary structure includes four short double-helical elements and three loops (D, anti-codon, and T loops). Further hydrogen bonds mediate the characteristic L-shaped molecular structure. tRNAs have two regions of fundamental functional importance: the anti-codon, which is responsible for specific mRNA codon recognition, and the 3' end, to which the tRNAs corresponding amino acid is attached (by aminoacyl-tRNA synthetases). tRNAs cope with the degeneracy of the genetic code in two manners: having more than one tRNA (with a specific anti-codon) for a particular amino acid; and 'wobble' base-pairing, i.e. permitting non-standard base-pairing at the 3rd anti-codon position.
Source: RNAcentral